GGGAGGCUAACAGGCACUGCAAGCACCUGGUAGUUAGCAAUAGCAGGAAGCCCUUACUACCUCUAGGCUGAAGGCAGCAGAGUGGGCAAAGUUUACUGGAAUCCAGAGAGAACUGCAGCUAAAGCUGUAGAUGAAAAUGCUCAGACAGGAGAUGCGGACUGUAGUACAGAAAUUCAGUCCCUGACAACCUGUGGCCUAACAGAGAGGGAACUGCCAUCUGUCUCCUUCUCUGCUUUGACCUCGUAGCCUCCUCUCAUCACCUCCCGCUGGAUGCACUGUACUUGAAGCCAAGUGGAAGCCACAGGCAGAGAACCCACUGAGGAAGUACAAAGGUCAGGCUCCCAAGGUGAUGUCAGCAGAAAGAGUGACAAGAAUUCCUCGCAGCUCAGUUAUCAGUGGACAAAUAGAUGAUCUUGGAAACCGGCAAUCUGCAUCUCCUCCUGAAGAUAUCAGCUAGAUAAUGAAGAAAUACAUUCCAGGGUUCAGAGGAACAUUAAUGAUUAGCCUGAUGAAGGACAGUGUGAAGCCCAAGACAUUUGAAAGCUUCUAAACUGGUGAUGACUUCCUGGAACUGGACAACAACAUUCUACUGUCAAUGCAGUAGUGGCCCCAGAAAGAAUGGGAGAACUUGCCCCCAAGAUUAAUUCUUUCUGUGGAGGGGAGUAUGUGUGUGUGGGUCCCUGAGUGGGGGUGGGAUGGAUGGGAGAGAACAAUAGAGGAAAAAAGAAGCAUAGUUUCCACACAGAGUAGAGCCUUUGGAGCUGUUGAAUAGUCCAAUCCAUUUUCAUGUGGAGAUUUUACUAAAGGCAUUUUAUUAUGAUUACCAGUAAAGAUUUAGUCAUAUUAUUUAUCUAUACACACACAAACACAAAAACUAUAUGUAAGAGAUUUGCCUUGCCUUGCCAAACAAAAAAUUUCAUUGCAUUUAAACAUAAGGGAGGUUAAAAAAAUAAAUGAGGCACAUGCUUGCAGAGAUAAACGUUCAUUGCAAACAUGAAAAUGUGGUUUGGACUGAUGUCACGAGUAACAUAAUUAACUACGAUAACAACAAAACCACUAAAGGAUUUGUGAGAACUAAAAGAAAACCCAAAGGCAGCCAAAAGGUGAUGGGCUUUCCGAUUCCGCCAUUCCUCGUGCUCAGUCUCCACGUCAAUCAUUCCCUCCCAGCGGUCACUAGCUUGGCUAUUUGUCUGUUUCCACACUAAUGCAUCACGAAACAUCAUGCCCACUUGCCUGCAAAAGAUACUAUCUCACACAUAUGGGGCCUGCCUUUGAUCUCUGUGGUCGAGCUAGAGGUCAGAGGCCUGCCUUCUCCAGGCCCUUACUUCAAAUGAUUCCUUUCAUUUACUGAGAAACCAAACGUUAGCAGGGAGAAGGCAGGAAAAAUAAAAGCCAUGAUUUAAUAGCAAUUUAUGUGUUUGGCCUAUUUCAGUUUGGGUUUUAUCCUCUUCGGCUCACAUAUAAUUCGUCAUUCGUCCCCGUUGCCCUGUCCUCCCUGCCCCACCAUUUGUUUAUUUUGGGCCCUCAGACAGAUUG
Bos taurus (domestic cattle) is the source of this 1536-nucleotide long non-coding RNA. NCBI's taxonomy places the organism in Eukaryota, Metazoa, Chordata, Mammalia, Artiodactyla, Bovidae. The record is from Ensembl.